CCAGUCGGCCGGACGGCCGCUGCUUUGGCAGAGGAAAGUCCGGGCUCCAUGGAAACACGGUGCCGGAUAACGUCCGGCGAGGGUGACCUCAGGGAAAGCGCCACAGAAAGCAAACCGCCCUGAGCCUUCGGGUUCAGGGUAAGGGUGAAAGGGUGCGGUAAGAGCGCACCGCGCGGGUGGCAACACAUCGCGGCACGGCAAGCCCCACCGGGAGCAAAACCGAAUAGGGAUGACGGAAGGCGGCAACGUCUUCAGCCUGUUUCCAGGGCGUCGUCCGGGUUGGUUGCUUGAGGCGGAUCGCAAGAUCCGUCCCAGAGGAAUGGCCGUCACGCGCGUGGGCUUGCCCAAGCGCCAUACAGAACCCGGCUUACAGGCCGGCUGGCAAU
RNAcentral lists this RNase P RNA (386 nucleotides) under Methylovirgula sp. 4M-Z18. RNAcentral describes it as "Bacterial RNase P class A". It matches the Rfam family "Bacterial RNase P class A". From Rfam's summary of the family: Ribonuclease P (RNase P) is a ubiquitous endoribonuclease, found in archaea, bacteria and eukarya as well as chloroplasts and mitochondria. Its best characterised activity is the generation of mature 5'-ends of tRNAs by cleaving the 5'-leader elements of precursor-tRNAs. The record is from Rfam by way of RNAcentral. Lineage: Bacteria; Pseudomonadati; Pseudomonadota; Alphaproteobacteria; Hyphomicrobiales; Beijerinckiaceae.